GCAAGUCAGGGUGAUCUGGCUCCACUAACUGAUGGGGGCUGUUUGGGCUGGUCUGGAUGGCUAGGCAGGUGACUUUCUCCUCUCUCACUGCUCCACUUGCCUCCCUCCUGAGGCUGCACAUUGGAGGCCACCUUCCGCACAUAGAGAUGGGCUGCUCUCCAGUGGAGGGUGAGGGUGUGGCUGUGCUUUCCUGUAGAAACAAAUUCUUGGGGCUGGGAGCACUCUCAUUCCCACAGGCAAGGACCUCUCUCCACGUACAGGUGGGGAUACUU
Molecule: small nuclear RNA, 272 nt
Filed under: Erinaceus europaeus (western European hedgehog)
Lineage: Eukaryota; Metazoa; Chordata; Mammalia; Eulipotyphla; Erinaceidae
Description: 7SK RNA
Rfam family: 7SK RNA
About the family: 7SK was discovered as an abundant small nuclear RNA in the mid-70s but a possible function has only recently been suggested. Two independent studies have found that 7SK RNA binds the CDK9/cyclin T complex (known as elongation factor P-TEFb). P-TEFb activates transcription by phosphorylating the C-terminal domain of RNA polymerase II.
Source: Rfam by way of RNAcentral